GGCCAGAGUUGGUGGAGUUGAGGCCCUGGAAAGGAGGAUGAGGAAGGGGAAAACAAGAGCUUUUUUUGUUUUGUUUUGUUUGCUGUCGAACAAUCCAAUGCUCAGCUCUACAGUCAGGGUAAAGUUGAGAAGGAAUUGAGCCCUCUAAGGCCCUGGCAGUCACACUUGGCAGAUGAGAAUAGAUAAAAUGAUGGUAGAGAGCGAUGGGAGGAGGAAGAGCACCUUCUCAAGCCACUGCUCAAAUGCCCAGGGAGUCACUCACCAAGGUAGCUGGCUCAGGUGGUGCUGACUGUAUACUACACAUGGAGGUCCGAGACACAGCCUCCGCCACGGGAGCUGGAGCAGCGGCCUUAGAUUCCUGAGGAAAGAUGCAAGUACUCUCAACAACUUUAGAAACAUUUGGUUAAUAAGACUGAGCAAUGGUAGACCAACAAGACACUCUGCUAUAUUAUAUGGUGUGAACAUGAUUCUCUUGAAUACCUAAGGAUUGCUGAAUAGUAAAUAAGUCAAAGCAU
This is a non-coding RNA of Macaca mulatta (Rhesus monkey), 515 nucleotides long. Lineage: Eukaryota; Metazoa; Chordata; Mammalia; Primates; Cercopithecidae. The record is from RefSeq and is a predicted model, not a curated record.